AUACGGAGGGUGCAAGCGUUACUCGGAAUCACUGGGCGUAAAGCGCGCGCAGGCGGGCUGAUAAGUUGGAUGUGAAAGCCUACGGCUCAACCGUAGAACUGCAUCCAAAACUGUCAGUCUAGAGUGUGGGAGAGGAAGAUGGAAUUAGUUGUGUAGGGGUAAAAUCCGUAGAGAUAACUAGGAAUACCAAAAGCGAAGGCAAUCUUCUGGAACACUUCUGACGCUGAGGCGCGAAGGCGUGGGGAGCAAACAGGAUUAGAAACCCGAGUAGUCC
This 274-nucleotide ribosomal RNA is filed under the name uncultured bacterium. RNAcentral describes it as "partial 16S ribosomal RNA". It matches the Rfam family "Bacterial small subunit ribosomal RNA", at positions 523 to 796 of the family's 1533-position model. The record is from RNAcentral.